This 703-nucleotide small RNA is filed under the name Histoplasma ohiense. RNAcentral describes it as "hypothetical lncRNA". Lineage: Eukaryota; Fungi; Ascomycota; Eurotiomycetes; Onygenales; Ajellomycetaceae. The record is from RNAcentral.
GGCACGGUUCACAUAUGAGAGCAGUUAAUCAUUAUAUAUACUACUAGUAGAAAUAUGUUAGGUGAGGGAAAUCAAAAAUAAGGACAAACGGCUUGAUAAAUAAAAUAAUAAGAUUAAUCUACAUGAAAUUAGGCAGCUCAUUAGCUAAGUAUGUAGUCCACUUUGACCAUGAAAUGGAACACGGCUGUGGUUUUUCACAACGGACAAAAGAGAGAACGAAGGAUACUAUCAAGAAGCAGAACGACUGUAAUAAAUGAUAAUAAAUUGGACGUGAAUCGGAUUUCCUCCCAAGGGAAAGGAAACCCUUUCAAGUACGAAGGCAACAUGAACGAGUAGACGAGGAAGUCGGAGGCAUCAGCAUCACAAAGUGUAGAUUAUGGCAAAGUGACAUAGAGAUAAAAGUGGGGGAAACGUCCAACGCACAUGUAAACCGCCGGGGAAGUGAAUUCCAAAGGGAUAAAUAAGAUGAAUAGGAGAGAUGGCAAAAAAUAAGAUUUAAUAGCGUACAAAUGGGCAAGUUGAGAAGGUAGCUCCAAAAGAAAGGCUGGUAAUAGGUAGUGUAAGUACAAAUUUGCCGCUAGGCUAGUUGCAAUGUAGAGAAUAGAGGCGUUAGAAUUGAAAUACACUAAAAUGUCCCGAGACGAAGGCAGGUAGCGAACAACGGAACAAAUGAUCAAGGCAAGUGACCAAAUAAAAGUCGUAG